UACCUGCAGCUCAAGUGGUAACCGCUAUUAUUGGGCCUAAAGCGUCCGUAGCCGGUUUGGUAAAUAUCUGGGUAAAUCGUGAGGCUUAACUUCACGAAUUUCGGAUAGACUGCCAGACUUGGGAUCGGGGGAGGUCAGAGGUACUCCAGGGGUAGCGGUGAAAUGUUGUAAUCCUUGGAGGACCACCGGUAGCGAAGGCGUCUGACUAGAACGAGUCCGACGGUGAGGGACGAAGCCCUGGGGCGCAAACCGGAUUAGAUACCCGGGUAGUCCAGGGUGUAAACGAUGUGGGCUUUGUAUUGGAGGUCCCACGUGGGCGUCCAGUGCAGAAGAGAAGUUGUUAAGCCCACCGCCUGGGAAGUACGGUCGCAAGGCUGAAACUUAAAGGAAUUGGCGGGGGAGCACAGCAACGGGAGGAGCGUGCGGUUU
RNAcentral lists this ribosomal RNA (429 nucleotides) under uncultured archaeon. RNAcentral describes it as "bacterial SSU rRNA". It matches the Rfam family "Archaeal small subunit ribosomal RNA", at positions 474 to 903 of the family's 1478-position model. The record is from RNAcentral.